RNAcentral lists this long non-coding RNA (3359 nucleotides) under Sus scrofa (pig). RNAcentral describes it as "lncRNA (ENSSSCG00025001548.1, ENSSSCG00065056069.1)". Lineage: Eukaryota; Metazoa; Chordata; Mammalia; Artiodactyla; Suidae. The record is from RNAcentral.
UUUCCUGGAAAAGACUCAGCCAAUGAAAAGCCCUGGACUGCUUGUUUACCACAGUCCUCCCCACUUUCUUUUCUCCUCUAUAAAAGCAUCCUCCUUCCUUUGCUGUGGGAGGACUUAUAUGUGGCUCACUAUAGUUGCAGACAGAUCCCAAAUUGCAAUUUUCUGCUGAUUCCUAGUAAACCCAUUUUUGCUGGGACACAUCUGGCAGUCUGUUUAUUUCAAAUCAACAGAAGUACAGCCAAAGACAGAGGCCAAUCAACCAGGGUUAGGGAUGUGUGUGCUAGGGGAAGCCAUGACCAAAAUGAGCCUAAUCUUGAGAACUUCUGGAGGUCCUCGAUACCCCUGGCAGUCAGCUCCAGCCACCCCAUUACUGCCUUCCUCUGCCCUUAGCCUCAGCCUCCAUCUCCCCAUCUGGAAAACUGGACAUGCUGCUGCCACAUGGCUGUGUGGUAAAUAAAGAAGGAGAGGAAGUCCUCAAAAAGCAAACUGUACACUAUUAAUCAAGGUGAUUACUGGAACAACCUUCCAAAAGUUAUAAGCUUCCAUUUGAUAAAAAGCCAUUAUCGAUGAACAACCCAUUAUAUAUCAGCCAGCAAAUGUCUUAAACCUUUCAAUGCUCAAUGAAUGAUGGGAUUUUGGUUUUUAAUAAUAAAACUGGAAUUCUCCUGCACUUGAAUGAGUCGUACCUGCCUCUGGGCAGCGUGGCCGUUGGCUGACUUGCAGAAACAGCAGAAAUCUGGGCAGAGCCUUCACUUGGAAAUCCGAGCCCUUCUGAAGUCCAAACCCCAGUCGAGCUCUUAUGAAGUCCAAACCCCAGUUUAACCAGAGGGUGGCACUUACUGUGAAGGGACUUAUCCCUGACCAGGCAGGGGGUGACAGAGAGGCCCUGGUGGCCUAGCAGUUAAGGAUUCAGCAUUGUUACUGCAGUGGCUCAGGUUCAGUCUGUGGCCUGGGAACUUCUGCAUACUAUGGGCGUGGCAAAAAAAUAAAAAAUAAAAAUAGAACUGUUGCAUAAUUCAGCCAUCCCACUUGUGAGUACAUACCCAAAAGAACUGAAAGGGGGUCUCAAAGACAUAUUUGUCCACCCUUGUUCAUAGCAGCAUUACUCACAAUACCAAAAGGUGGAAGCAAUCCAAGUAUCCAACAACAGAGGAAUGGAUAAACAAAAUGUUGGCUAUACAUACAAUGGAAUAUCAUUUACCCUUAAAGGGAAGGAAAUUCUGACACCUGCUACAACAUGGGUGAACCUUGAGGAUGUUAUGCUCAGUGAAACAAGCCAGAUACACAAAGGAAAACUACUAUGUGAUUCCACUUAUAUGAGGUAUUUAGAGUAAUCAAAUUCAUAGGGAUAGAAAGUGGUGUGAUGAUUUGCAGGGAAAGGGCAAUGAGGAGUUAGCGGGUUUUUUGGGUUUGGUUUUGUCUUUUUAGGGCUGCACCCAUGACAUAUGAAGAUUCCCAGGCUAGGGGUCGAAUCGGAGCUGUAGCUGCCAACCUAUACCACAGCCAUAGCAACACAGGAUCCAAGCCACGUCUGCGACCUACACCACAGCUCACAGAAACGGAAGUUAGUGUUUAAUGGACAUAGUGUUUCCAUCUUACAAGAGGAAAACUUAUGGAGAUGGCCAAUCCUUACUGCCCCAUCUCUGACUAGAUCACACUUUGUUUUGCUGUGAUGUGUCUGCUCUUCAGCUCCACAUCCAUCUGGUGCCAAUUUUAUUAAUGGCAGAGUGAGAUCAGAUCAACUUUCCUCCAGGGAAAGAACAAACCCAAGAAACAGGCAACUUGCCAGGACAAAAGAAUAGGAAAAUAAGCCACCAUUGGUUCAGAAGGUGCUGGCUCGGCCCUGUAGCCGGGACCUUCUGAAAUCUACCAUUUGGGGGAAGGGGGAGGGGGUAGGAUGGAAGGAGAACCAGGUUACAAUCCAAAAAAUGUAUGAUCACUGUCCUUCCGGGUUCUAAAUGUUUCUUUCGAUGAGUCACAAAGGUUAGCUGAGAGGCUCUUAAAUUAAAAACCCACAGGGUUUUCCUUUUAUAGACUGUCCUCAGGAGACCUCUCACUGCAUGUUCCCUCUGUCCUCAGCCCCAACUGGCAGCUGCUCUAAGCAUGCAUGUUUACAGAAAUACCAGUAGUUAUUGCAUGUUCCCUUCCAUGUGAUUAAGCAUUGCCAUAAAGCCUGGGCUGGAUUAGAAAUAGAUCUUUCCCUUCUGAGAAAGGCUGAGUGGGGCAAAGCCGGCAGCCAUGGUGUGUGUCUUGUGCCACCUACUGGCCACUCAUGGGAUCACAUAGAAAACGCCCAAAGGGUGGACAGGGCUUGGCAUAUUAUGGUGGUCUGUCCUAAAGAGAAAGAAGAGAAAACACAGUCUGAUCUCACUGCUGCUCAUGGCAUUUCAGCAUUUGGGUUUUGUUUUUGGGGUUUUUUUUUUUUUUUUUUUUGCUGCCCCCAUGGCAUGUGGAGGGUGGAGGUUCCCAGGCCAGGAAUCAAACCCACACCACAGCAGCAACCUGAGCCACUGCAAAGGCAAUGCCAGAUCCUUGAUCCACUGCACCACCACCAGAAAACUCCCGUCUCACCAUAUUUAAAAGCAUGUCUUACUCCAAAGGAGAGCAGCCUCCUGUCUACUGUGAGGCUGGGUAGCAUUGCCUCCUCAUCACAUGAUUGAUUUGACAAGAGCAGGGAGCUUAAUGUAUGGUCAGCCUGCAAGGGCAGCUGGGAGUGAAAUCCAGAUUUUGAGAGAGAAUCAAUUACUUGUUUUAGGUCUCCUUAUCCUCAGAUUUUUCUUGGAGGCCACAGCCUGCCUGCUGCAAAGAUUAAAAAUAACACCCCCAUUAAAAAAAUGAAAAAAUAAUAAUACCCACAUAUCUCUAUUUAGCACUUUUGUCUUUCUAAGCUCUCUGGUAGCUGUUUUCCUGUCAUAUCUCUGUUGCUAACCCUGAAACAGAGGGUUUGGGCUGUUUCCCCCAAAGUCUGAAGCAGAAUCGGGACAGAAAUUCCAUGUGCUGACACCCUUGUCAUAUACACCCUUGGGACUGAGCCACCUGAAAGAAAGAAGCUGGGAUUCAAAGGAAGUUGGAAGCUGGGACUAAUAAAAAGUUCUUGUGAAUGGUCCCCAUCCUGAUAAUUUCCUUUCUCUUUGACUUUAAAACAAAUCUGGGAGCUCAGCAUGUUAAGAACCCAACAUAGUGUCCAAAAGGAUGUAGUUUUGAUCCCUGGCCUUGCCUGAUGGGUUAAGUAUCCGGCAUUGCUGCAAGCUGAAGCAUAGGUCAUAGACGCUACACGGAUCUGAUGUUGCUGUGGCUGUGGUGCAGGCUGGCAGCUGCAACUCUGAUUCAGCCCCUUGCCUGGGAACUUCCAUAUGCCA